RNAcentral lists this transfer RNA (91 nucleotides) under Spirulina sp. SIO3F2. RNAcentral describes it as "tRNA-Ser". It matches the Rfam family "tRNA". From Rfam's summary of the family: Transfer RNA (tRNA) molecules are approximately 80 nucleotides in length. Lineage: Bacteria; Bacillati; Cyanobacteriota; Cyanophyceae; Spirulinales; Spirulinaceae. The record is from RNAcentral.
GGAGCGAUCGCCAUCGGCAAGGCAAGCUGUUUGCUAAACAGUCGUAGCGGCCAUCCCGCUACUACAGGUUCGACUCCUGUUCGCUCCGCCA